UACGUAGGUGGCAAGCGUUGUCCGGAAUUAUUGGGCGUAAAGCGCGCGCAGGCGGUCCUUUAAGUCUGAUGUGAAAGCCCACGGCUCAACCGUGGAGGGUCAUUGGAAACUGGGGGACUUGAGUACAGAAGAGAAGAGUGGAAUUCCUGGUGUAGCGGUGAAAUGCGUAGAGAUGUGGAGGAACACCAGUGGCGAAGGCGACUCUUUGGUCUGUAACUGACGCUGAGGCGCGAAAGCGUGGGGAGCAAACAGG
This 253-nucleotide ribosomal RNA is filed under the name uncultured bacterium. RNAcentral describes it as "partial 16S ribosomal RNA". It matches the Rfam family "Bacterial small subunit ribosomal RNA", at positions 524 to 776 of the family's 1533-position model. The record is from RNAcentral.